Molecule: small RNA, 350 nt
Filed under: Arabidopsis thaliana (thale cress)
Lineage: Eukaryota; Viridiplantae; Streptophyta; Magnoliopsida; Brassicales; Brassicaceae
Description: ATSL035370
Source: RNAcentral
ACUGCUUUUAAGCAAUUUUUUGUUGGUUUUAGCCUCUUUUGGGACAAAAUGGGUAUAAGUGUUAUCUAAACACUCCUAAUCCAUCUCUAACUCUUAUGAUUAGUCAAACGCAUUGGAUUCUGACACAUUUUGACCAUAAAAACACUAACAAAAGUGUUUACUGCUUCUAAGCAAUGUUUUGUUGGUUUUAGCCUCUUUUGAGAGAAAAUAGGUAUUAAGUAUUGUCUAAAAACUCCUAAUCCAUCUCUAACUCUUAUAAUUAGUCACAUGCAUUGGAUUCUUACACAUUUUUACCAUAAAAACACUAACAAAACUGUUUAGUACUUCUAAGCAAUUUUUUAUUGGUUUUA